CCCUUAGAUGUUCUGGGCCGCACGCGUGCUACACUGAGUAAAUCAAUGGGUAAGGGAACACGAAAGUGCAACCUAAUCUUGAAAUUUGCUCGUGAUGGGGAUCGACGGUUGCAAUUUUCCGUCGUGAACGAGGAAUACCUUGUAGGCGCGUGUCAUCAUCACGCGCCGAAUACGUCCCUGCCCUUUGUACACACCGCCCGUCGCUCCUACCGAUUGAGUGAUCCGGUGAGGCUCUGGGACCUGGACGGAAAGAGCGUUUCGCUGUUUCUGCUCGGAAAACUCAGUCGAACCUUAUCAUUUAGAGGAAGGAGAAGUCGUAACA
RNAcentral lists this ribosomal RNA (322 nucleotides) under uncultured eukaryote. Its description in RNAcentral is "partial 18S ribosomal RNA". It matches the Rfam family "Eukaryotic small subunit ribosomal RNA", at positions 1470 to 1796 of the family's 1831-position model. The record is from RNAcentral.